GACGAAGGUGGCGAGCGUUACUCGGAAUUACUAGGCGUAAAGCGUGGGUAGGUGGUUCGGUAAGUCUGUUGUGGAAGCUCCCGGCUUAACCGGGAGAGGCCAAUGGAAACUGCCGGACUUGAAUGUGGGAGGGGUCACUGGAAUUCCUGGUGUAGCGGUGAAAUGCGUAGAGAUCAGGAGGAACACCAAAGGCGAAAGCAGGUGACUGGACCACUAUUGACACUGAGCCACGAAAGCUAGGGGAGCAAACAGG
This 253-nucleotide ribosomal RNA is filed under the name uncultured bacterium. RNAcentral describes it as "partial 16S ribosomal RNA". It matches the Rfam family "Bacterial small subunit ribosomal RNA", at positions 524 to 776 of the family's 1533-position model. The record is from RNAcentral.